Molecule: non-coding RNA, 423 nt
Organism: Chlorocebus sabaeus (green monkey)
Lineage: Eukaryota; Metazoa; Chordata; Mammalia; Primates; Cercopithecidae
Source: the annotation of a RefSeq genome assembly
CAGUCUCAGACAGGACACAGCAUGGACAUGAGGGUCCCCGUGCAGCUCCUGGGGCUCCUGCUGCUCUGGCUCCGAGGUGCCAGAUGUGACAUCCAGAUGACCCAGUCUCCAUCCUCCCUGUCUGCAUCUGUAGGAGACAGAGUCACCAUCACUUGCCGGGCGAGUCAAGGCAUUAACAAGGAGUUAAGCUGGUAUCAGCAGAAACCAGGGAAAGCCCCUACACUCCUGAUCUAUGCUGCAUCCAGUUUGCAGACGGGGGUCCCAUCUCGGUUCAGCGGCAGUGGAUCUGGGACAGAUUUCACUCUCGCCAUCAGCAGCCUGCAGCCUGAAGAUGUUGCAACUUAUUACUGUCUACAGGAUUAUACUACCCCAUCCACAGUGUUACAAGCCAUAAUAAAAACCCCCAGGGAAGCAGAUGUGUGA